This is a long non-coding RNA of Triplophysa dalaica, 444 nucleotides long. RefSeq lists it as uncharacterized. The transcript is spliced from 3 exons. The record is from RefSeq and is a predicted model, not a curated record. Lineage: Eukaryota; Metazoa; Chordata; Actinopteri; Cypriniformes; Nemacheilidae.
GGUGGGAUAGAAGAACUGGCCGAGUCUCCUUCCACUCUGCCUCUCUCUCUCUCUCUCUCUCUCUCUCGCGCGCGCGCGCGAGGGCGCUAACUGGAUCCCGGCGUGGGUGGUCGCUGCGUGGAGUGAAGUGUUCAGGAGGGUCUGCGCAACGGAGCACCACGAGUGGUCGGAGAUCGUGGAAGGGUGGAGCAGCUAAAGAGCACGUCACUGGCCAGAGCCUGCUCCAGAACAGAGUCUCCCAGAGACGGAAGCCUUUGACCGCGAUAUAUACUCUCAUCGGACAGGGUGCGGUGCAAAGAACGUCUCCCUAAGUUUGCUGGACUUGAGGAGGAGGCCUGCAGAGACAAUGAGAGAGGUGGCUGCCAUCCGUCACCCCCACAGCCGAGCUCCCACACUUACUUUCGCGUGUCUCCGAAGUCCACCGAGUUGAUGGUGCUGCCGGGU